UAUAUGUAUUAAUUUGGUUGAUGUAACUCUGCAUUUUUGCUUAGAUAGUAUAUAUAUAUAUAUAUACACACAGUUGUACGUAGUUGUAAAGCGUGCAGACAGUUUGGGCUAUAAUAUUACCAAUAUUUCUUUGUUUAUCAAUGUUGAUUUUAUGAAAGAACUGGAUCAAUUACUUUGCCAAGAUGUGUGAGCAAACAGAAAUCAACUAUCUGGAUGGAGAUGUUGUCUGGGUUAAACUGGGUGCAUGCUGGUGGCCUGGUCAGGUUACUGGAUUGCAUAAUUUGCCAGAGGAUAUACAGGUUGAGUUUCGAAAGAAGCCACUUAUAGCAGCUGUGAAAUUUUUUCAGGAAGAUACCUAUGAAUUUGUGAAAAAUUAUCAACAAAUCUAUAAAUAUAA
This is a long non-coding RNA of Pseudomyrmex gracilis, 397 nucleotides long. RefSeq lists it as uncharacterized. The transcript is spliced from 3 exons. The record is from RefSeq and is a predicted model, not a curated record. NCBI's taxonomy places the organism in Eukaryota, Metazoa, Arthropoda, Insecta, Hymenoptera, Formicidae.